AUACGGAGGAUGCAAGCGUUAUCCGGAUUUAUUGGGUUUAAAGGGUGCGUAGGCUGUUCGGAAAGUCAGGGGUGAAAGCCCGGCGCCUAACGCCGGAACUGCCUUUGAUACUUCCGAGCUGGAAUACGGAUGCCGUGGGAGGAAUGAGUAGUGUAGCGGUGAAAUGCAUAGAUAUUACUCAGAACACCGAUUGCGAAGGCAUCUCACGAAUCCGUCAUUGACGCUGAGGCACGAAAGCGUGAGGAUCAAACAGGAUUAGAUACCCUGGUAGUCCACGCAGUAAACGAUGAUGACUAACCGCUGGGCUUAUCAGUUCAGUGGCCAAGCGAAAGCGAUAAGCCAUCCACCUGGGGAGUACGACCGCAAGGUUAAAACUCAAAGGAAUUGACGGGG
Molecule: ribosomal RNA, 393 nt
Filed under: uncultured bacterium
Lineage: Bacteria
Description: partial 16S ribosomal RNA
Rfam family: Bacterial small subunit ribosomal RNA
Source: RNAcentral